UAGCAAAAAACAUAUAACAUGCAUUAAAUGCUCAUACAUAUACUACACAUAAACUCUAGAAAAAAAAUAACAUUUAUUUCCAAAAUAAAAACAUAUAUAUUUAAACAUAACAAUAUGUUUCUAAAGCUCUAUUUAAAUGAAAUUUUUAACAAAUCACAUUUAUUUAUGCUUCACAAUUACAGUGCUCUUUCGUUAAUCAAACAAAUAAAGGGAAAUAAUUCAGAUAUUUCCUACAGUAACAUGCACAUGUAUAUAGAAAUAUUUCUCCUAAUUUGAUUUCCUUGGUCUGGUCAAUAUUUAUCUACUGGUCCCGUUAUGCUUGACAUAAAAAGAUCCUUACAUAAUUCUUUCAUUUUUAUGCAAUUUGAUUUAAUUCCAAUUGACUUUUUUUUACAGUGGAAUCAUGCAUGUUUAAAAACAUUUCAUGACAAAAUUUUAAUAAAUCUAUUUAAUUCAUAAACUGUAUUUAUUAGAUAUUUAGACCAAAAAAGUCCAUUUUACAAAAAAAAAAAAGAAAUUGCAAUAAAAGUUGUUUUGAUAAUUGUUUAUAUUGAUAAAGGGGAAAAACAUGAGAGAUUCAAAAAUAUUAUCAGAGGAACCAGAAAAAUAGUUGUACAGAGACUUGACACAUAAGUCCAAACAUCCUUUCAACAAGGUAAGGUAUACAUAAUAAGGGUAUAAAAAUAUAUCUGAAAAUAACUUUCUUGUAAUAAUCAUCCAUGAAAUAACUUCAUACAAUACAGAAUUUUAUGGGGUGUGUGUGCAAGUACAGAAACAUGUUUACUGGUGUGUGUUUGUGUUUGCAUAAGUAUUGAAACAUGUUUUCAGUUUUAUGUUUGUGUGAGCAUAUACAAAAGUAUUGAAACAUAUUUUAUGGUGUGUGUGCGUGUGUGUGUGUGUGUAUGCAAGUACUGAAACAUGUUAUCUUGCAAACUAUUCUCAAAACACUGAAAGCAACAGAACCUUUCUGUCUACAGAAAAAGAUAUAUAAUAAAAAAGAUUUAAUUUGUAUACAUUGCAUAUCAUUUUGUAUUGUAAAGUAAUCUGUUAAAAUUACUAAAUCUCCUAAAUUUCCUCAAAGCACCUCUUAUCCAUUUCAACUAUUUGUACAACAUAUUUGUUUACCAGGGACUUUGUUUAAGAUAUUUUUCUUCUUCUGCUGAUAAUUUUUUAAAUAAAAAUUAUUAUUAUAAAAUUUCAGUAUGAAGCAAUGAUUAUCCUGAGCACAUGCAAACCAAAUGCAUUGUAAUCAGACCUGCACAUCUAAACCAGUAAAUGAUUGACAUUUACAGUAAUUUACACAGAUUGCAGAUCCUCAUCUUAAUGUUCUUUCAUCAGCAUUUUCAUUUUGGAUAACAAGAUUUCAUCAUGCUAUAAAAUUAUUAAAAUAAGACAAAAUGAUAUAUUUGGUUCUGAAAAUAUUGCUAAAAAGACGAUUUGUCAGUGAGAAUUGUAUUUACAGAUUCUGUUUUAUAAUGUAUCAUGAUGUAAACAAACUGGUUUUAAAUAUAUAUCUAUGGUAUUUCAUUUUUAUCUAAAAUAUUAGCAACCAAAAAUAGUGCAAGUUCAAAGGGCUUUGUUUAGAAUCCAUUUUUUUUAUAUAUUCCUCUGCUUUUGUUUAAUGUGCUUAAGGGUUUUGUUUCAUGCAUCUUAAAAAACCUAUCUCCCUCCUUUCAUCAUAUAUGACAAACAAAAUGUUAAAGUUACUUAUAAAUAUAUCAUCUACAACAACAUAUGCAAAAUGAUAAUGUGAAGGAAUCAAAAUUAUUGUGGAUCCCCAGCCUGACCUGCAGCGGUAAAAUUAUGAAACUUAUAUAUGUACAGAUUUUGCAAACUCACUAUAGCAGUUUUAGUUUAAUUUGUUUAAAUCCCAAAAAUUAAAAUCAUUAGAAAUAUAACUGUGUCUUUUGUAAAAUCACAGCAGCUUAUUUGAUGUUUAUAACCAUAUGUAAAAAUUCAUUUUUCUUCAGAUUUAGAAAAAGAUAUUUGAACAAUUACUUCUUUUUUGUAGACAUUUCUGGUAAACUAUUGAAUAGUGAUUAUGGAUAUGGAUAAUAUGCAUAUUCACAUAUACAAAGAUUAACAAUUACUGUACUUCAUUUUGCAUGGUGUCUACUGUUACAAUAUUUUCCAACAUAUUUUAUUCACAGGUACUUUUUCCAUGUUUUUUGAAAGAAUAUAUUUGUGCCUACAUGCCAUUUAUAAUUUGGAUUUCAAAUAUUUUGGCCACGAGCAUCACUGAAGAGACAUGUAUUGUCGAAAUGCGCAUCUGGUGCAAGAAAAUUGGUACCGUUAAUUUUAUUAUAUAAUUCAGAUGGAUGCAUGAUUAUGAUAAGAAUUCAGAGCAUAAUAAGGAAAGAAUUCAAAAGUCUGGUCAAUACCUCCCAAUGGGAAAAUUCCCCUAAAUUAGGAAAAAAAAGGCCAAAAUAAAUCAGGAAAAUUGUCAGGUCUGCAGCAAUGAUAAUUAAUUUACUGUUGUAAAUGACAUGGAAAUAAUACAUAGUUUGCUCUUGUACUUGAUAUUAAGGGGGAGACAACUAAUAAUAUGUUUAUUGCACAUUAGAUAAAAUCAUGUUUCACUUGUGUGAAAAAAAAAUCUUCUCAAUUGUAUAAAAGUUUUAAUUCUUAAACAUAAAUGAAUGUUAUUUUAUCAGAAAUUUCUGAGAAAAAUGAAGUAAAUUGUCUGAACUCAUUGAAAAAACACAAUUUAGUAAUAAAUGAUUUUAUAAUCUGCUAUAAGCAUCACUGAAAUCUUGUAAAAUAUAACAAACAUAUUUACAACAUGAACAUAUGUGUGAAUUUAUGCAUGCUGUAGUUUUGAGACAUUAAAAAAAUUAAUUACCAUGCCUGCAUGGCUAUAAAUAUCAUCCAAUUGCAUUUUACUAUUAUACAAAUAAAAAAAACUACAAAAAUCUAUUUCUUAUGAACUAACUACAUAAAAGCACCUUUGAUUUGCAAUUAUAUAUAUACUGGUACUAUAACUCCAAUGUAGUUCUAGAUUGGUGGAAAUAAAUUUUGUUUAAGGGACAUAACUCUGGAAAAUCAUUGAAAUGUUUGUGUCAACCUAUGCAUUUAUUCAUUUCUAAGCUUCGAUGCAAGAAAGAUUAUCAUCAUUCUACGUUAUGCCAAUGCUUAUAAAACAGUAAUGAAACUGACCAUAACAAAUACAUUACUGAUUAAAAGAGUUACAUGACCUCAACCAGAUUUAUUCCUUGAAAGCAAAGUCAUGCUGACAUAUUACAAUUCUAUUCAUUUAACUCUAAAUUAUGGUCCCUAUUGGAAUAGCUCCAAUCAGUCAUCAUGGAAUGCAACAUGUAAUGUGCUCUACUGAUACUAGAUUUAAAUAAAUUACAGAUGAUUUGCUAAGCAAUACAGCAGCAAAAAGUUAGCACUAAGUAGAAAAUUUUACAACAGAUUUUCUACAUACAAAAACAACAUAAUUCCAUCAAAUGAGCAAAAAUAUAUCAGACGGUUUAAACUUUGAUGUAACUUUUCAAUGGUUAAAUUAUAUAUUUGGCUACAGCUGCCAUAGACAGUUCAUAAUCAGUCCUGUUCUUCAACUGUUAUAGUGUUAUACAUACAAGUCAUAUCUGGACAUUGUGAUAACAAAAACCAGUCACCAUGAAAAUGUCUUGUCUUAUAAUAUAAAUGGGCUGUGAGUUUGAAAACUAUAGCUCUUAAUGAAAUUUUUAAGUCUUAAAGCGGUUUUUACUAUUAAAUUCUAAUAAUAACAUUAUUACUUUGCCAUGAAAAGAACUUUUUUUUUUUUAAUUAUAUGUGAUUUUUUUUUAAAUAUCAAAGUCAAAUUGUGUACCUUUUUUUUUAAAUAAAAAAUAUGUUCAUGCUUAUACAAUUUAAAAUAAAUUUAAUGAAAGAUUUUUUCAUUUAACAACGUUUAACAAUAAAACGGGGAUAAAAAUACAAAAAUGGCAUUUAUAAGCCAUUCAAAUUCCUCAAAUAAUAUGAAGAUAUCAUAAAUGAAUCUAUUAUGAAACAAUAAACUAUACAAUUGUACAAAAUAUUGAACAAUUAAAAAUAUAUAAAAAUAACAUAUCUUUAUGGCAAACCAGUAUUUAGGGCUAGUAUAAAUGGCAAAGAGUGCAUAAGGCUAACAUAGCACUUUUCCUAUAAUAAUUGUAUUAUAAUACUGAAAGAGCUAGCGCUUCUACAAAUAUAUUCUAUCAAUAAAUAUUUUUACAAGAUGUAUUCCUCUAAACAAAAUUUUAAUUUACUAUAAUUUUACUAACCACUACAUAGAAAUUGGGAAAUAAAACAAAAAGUAACCCUGUGCAUUGACCAAUGGAACAUUUUUUCAUGGAAUUGUUCUAAAAAUUCCUGCAAUAUCUGACCAAUAACAGUGAAAUAUCAAGUCAAUUCAGGUCAUGAUUUUAUCAAAGGAAAUUAUAUAUUCUUAAUUGACUACGAGUUUCAUACAGAGUCCUCAAAAUGUAUAUCAAGUUAUUUUGGUCAUCCAAGAAAAAACAAUACAAAAAUCCCAACAUUUUCGACAUAAUACGAA
RNAcentral lists this long non-coding RNA (4519 nucleotides) under Mytilus galloprovincialis (Mediterranean mussel). Lineage: Eukaryota; Metazoa; Mollusca; Bivalvia; Mytilida; Mytilidae. The record is from RNAcentral.